Triticum aestivum (bread wheat) is the source of this 1790-nucleotide long non-coding RNA. RefSeq lists it as uncharacterized. NCBI's taxonomy places the organism in Eukaryota, Viridiplantae, Streptophyta, Magnoliopsida, Poales, Poaceae. The record is from RefSeq and is a predicted model, not a curated record. The transcript has 5 exons.
UCUCAGCCCUAAAAGAUAUCUACAUAGAACUCUCUCUCCUUUCCCUCUCAGUAAAAAAAAGAACUCUCCUCCCAUACGAUCCCCACCAGGCACCUCAUACACAUCCGCCAUUUCUUCCAAUUUGCCGCCGGCGAAGGACAAUGUCGAUGUGCCCCAUUAGGAAACUAAUCCUCAUGCUAUCCCAGAUCCGCAUGUCGCUUCUUUUCUCCUGAUUUUUCUUCCUUGGUGGUGGCACAUGUGGCUGGGUGAGCGUGUGGAUCUCGGCGAACUCGUCGACCCUGGCAACGCGGUCACGGAGAUGUCCAGUGAGAACGCGGGUUGUGCUACUCAAAGUUGUCGUAGCCAGAGUUUUUGGAUGUUGGAGCUGCGAAGGCAUUGAGGGAGUUCGCGGAUGAAGAAAUAUAUGCAAGACGUGAGUAUCUUCUGCGAGUCGAUGUUAGUUGUUGCCCUCCUGCUGUCCAGACUUCUACCAAAUCACGAAGGGCCACUUCAAGUCGCUUGGUGACAUAAUGAUUUCAGGAGCAUCACCUGCAAGCCUACCUUCAGUUUUAGCUCGUGGAUUGGAAUUCCUGGGAAGGUCAUGUUGUUGAGGAACUCUACUAGACACAUAUUCUCCAUUGUGUUGUAAUUCAUUGUUGCCUUGCAUACAGUGUCCAAGUAUAGGAGCAAAGCUGCAAUGCCAGAUGAUACUACCGAAAUCACUUUCUUUCCUUCUGAUCGUAGCUUCGUUGUAAUUGCUUUCCAUAGGGUGUCCAUAGUAGAUUCUCCCAAUAGCGAAGCCCCUUUUCCGCUCCUCAGGUUUUGGUUUCGCUUUUCCAUACAAAUUUUGAUGGUAAUUCUGCAUAGGUUAAUUCUUUUCCCGCCUCAUGUAUUUUGUUUGCCUCCAUCCACUCAGUGAGCUUAGUACUCGUGGAUCCUGGCCUUCUUACUAUCUUCUCUAUGUCAGUCGAGUCCGGAAAAAUAAGUUCUUGCUCAUUUUUAAUGUGGAAUGGUAGUCUCUCGACUGGUGGAUCAUGAUGGUGUAUAUCAAACAGGAAUGUUUGCCAGCAUGCUUCAGUUGUUGAUAUGUAUCUCAUCUCUAGGUAUUUCUUGAUGUCAUCAUAGUCAUUUGCCGCAUCUCUUCCCUUUAGCAAGGUUGUUACCUGGUCGUCAUCUUUAUGGAUGUUCUUAAAUAGGUUGGUACUUGAUUGACCUUGGCCUGUGGCACCACUUGACAUUUAUGUGAGCUUGGAAUUGGCCAAAAGGUUUCGGUUGUAGGGUAUGACAAAUCUAUCGUUGAGCAUUGCUCCUCCCUUUUUGAUCUUCCUUCCAUUGUCUCGCCUUCUAUAUACUGGAAAGCCAUCCUCAUCGUUUGUGGUAUCGACAUUGUAUCCUUUUGGGAAGUGCUUAGUGCGUCUGUUGUCAAUCAUGCAUGAUGAUUUUGUAUUUGACACUCUGCAAGGCCCGUGCAUCAUGAAAUUUUCCACAGUUUCAUAUCCGUCCGGAUCGUCAUCUUUGUCUGGGAUCUCCGCAUCGAUUAUUUGGUCGAUUUGUGAUGUUACUUUGCACGUGUAUCAUAUGUAGGCUAAUAAGCUCAUCGGUGGUAGGAUUGAAUGAAUCCCAUAUUCACAUUUGUUUUACUUGAAUGUUCCAGUGAUGUCCCCUUGUAUUUAAGUCGCUCAACUUGUUACAUGCCAUAGUGUUUUGCCUUGAAUAUUAAUAGGGAACAAUUUUUCAAUUGAUAAAAUAUUUAUAAAGAUUAUAUCUAGAGAAAAUAAGACUGUUAAUAACAAUUACUAAAUUAUCUGAUG